This 1254-nucleotide long non-coding RNA is filed under the name Theobroma cacao (cacao). RNAcentral's name for it is "long non-coding RNA (TCAC_LNC000237)". Lineage: Eukaryota; Viridiplantae; Streptophyta; Magnoliopsida; Malvales; Malvaceae. The record is from RNAcentral.
UAUGCUAUGCCUAUACCCAAGGCGGGAGAGGCGUGGACAGCAUGCCGCGGCUGCUUUAGAUAAAUUAAUUAAUCAGCAUAAAGCUACUGCCAAUUUUUAUUCUGGUAGAUAAGUAAGGGAAAGAUUUUGUCUAAGAAAUCUAGAUAUCAAUAACUAAUCUUAGAUCAUCAAUCUACAAUAUAAUUUCUUUAUCUUGGAUUCAUUUAAAACAACAUUUUCUUCUGAAUAUCAUAUCUUUCUCAACAAGGAGACCAAGUUGCAUACUAGAACCAAUCAAUCUCUCGCACUCAUCUCAUUUACCACUAUUGUUUAUUUGCCUAGUAUCACGGGCGGUGCUACCUUAAAGAAUAAAGAUUAAUAUAUAUAUAUAUAUAUAUAUAUUCAUAUCUACAUAAAAUCCUGAUGCUUAGCAGUGAUAAAACCAGGUUCUAGAAAUAUUCUAAAGCAAACCCAAAUUUUCAAAAUAUUUGGUUUGAUCCAACGGAUAAAGAUUCUUGGAUUCUUGGAUUUUCAUGCUAAGAAGAGAUACUGUUAAAUUGCCUGAAUCAAACAUGUUAAUAUGACAACAAAUAAAUUUAUUGAGGAAAUAUAUUUUGUCAACAAGCAGCAAAAUAAUAUACAAAAAUAAAAAAAUAUAAAAAUUUACGUGAUUUGAGCUUACUUUUACUUUCAUAGACGUUAGUGACGAGAAAAUUUCAUUAUAAUCAACAAGAUGAAAUUAAAAAACAACAAGUUUUGAUAUCUAAACUUACUUGGCUAGCUAUACACCUUCAACAUGAGAGCAAUGGCUCUUCAAACUACCUAAACUCUCUCGACUCUUUUUCUAACUUUGUUUGGCCGUAAAGAACCUGAAUGACAAAAGCUCACAUUUUACCUUUACAGUUAACCUUUUUUUGCACUUCCAAAACAAGGCAUAAAUAAACAAGAAACAUGGGCAAAGAAAGGUACGUAGAGGUAAAAAGGUCAAGCGAAUGCAAAACAAGUAAAAAACCAUGGCAAGGAAAGUCAAAGGGGUGAGCAACAAAAAGGGGGCGAGCGGACAUGGGUCUGGCUUUGGCUUUGAAUCUUCAGUCUUUCAUCCAACAAAUUUCCAUUUUGUCUUAAAAUUCUUCGGGCCAAACUUAUACUGAGUUUCUCAAAAUCGAAUUGCUUCUGCCACAAGUGCUUCUUAGGGCAUUCACUGAUUGCAAAUACCAACCAAGUCCCAGCAAUGCUUGAACUUUAAGCAGGGAUAAUCUCUGUUAACAUGUCCGC